GCCCCGCCCACCCCGGCGGGGGAGCAGACAAGCUUCUCGGGCUGGUGAGUGCUGGUCAGCCUCGAUCAUCUGUGCGGGAAACUCUCUGCUCUGCCCUCCGCACCCCUGUUGCUGUGCUGUCCUCCGCGGCUCCGAAGCUCCCCGACUCCGUCACCCGCAGUCUCCGCCCGCGAAGGGGCUUCUAGUGUGUGGAAACCUUUCCUCCUUCACAGCUCCCUCCCUCUGGUGCAGUGUUUCUCCGAUGCAGGUAUUCUCUGCAUAAUGCUGUCCAUAAGGAUAAAGAAAACAAUGGCAUAAAGAUGGAUCAUCUGGGAAGACCAGGCUGUCCCCUGGAGUCACCAAGGACAGGAGUUCUUGGAGGGCAGGAAGAUGAGAUGAGAGAAGAUGCCCCACUAUUCGUGAGGGUAGCAAGAGAGCCCAGGGAUUCUGAGGCUGAGAUCUGUGCCCCUGGGCCAUCAGUUUGAGAGUGGCUAAGCCUGCAAGGAGUCCUGUGACAUCUUAUCUCAGAUGGGGGAGGUCUUCUGAGACCCUCAUUAUCUGUGUUUAUACUGGAAAAAAAGAUAAUAAAUAU
Lagenorhynchus albirostris (white-beaked dolphin) is the source of this 571-nucleotide long non-coding RNA. RefSeq lists it as uncharacterized. Lineage: Eukaryota; Metazoa; Chordata; Mammalia; Artiodactyla; Delphinidae. The record is from RefSeq and is a predicted model, not a curated record. The transcript has 3 exons.